GUCCUGGCUCAGGAUGAACGCUGGCGGCGUGCCUAACACAUGCAAGUCGAGCGAGAAGCUCGUGACGGACGCUUCGGUUGAAGUCACGAGUGGAAAGCGGCGGACGGGUGAGUAACGCGUAGGCAACCUGCCCUUUGCAGAGGGAUAGCCUCGGGAAACCGGGAUUAAAACCUCAUAAUACCGCAGUGAGACAUCUCACGGCGGUCAAAGAUUUAUCGGCAAAGGAUGGGCCUGCGUCUGAUUAG
RNAcentral lists this ribosomal RNA (245 nucleotides) under uncultured bacterium. RNAcentral's name for it is "partial 16S ribosomal RNA". It matches the Rfam family "Bacterial small subunit ribosomal RNA", at positions 16 to 244 of the family's 1533-position model. The record is from RNAcentral.